GCCUUCGUGGUGUAACUAACGGUAGCACACUCGACGCGCAUUCGAGAGGUUCAGGUUCGAGUCCCGUCGACGGCA
RNAcentral lists this transfer RNA (75 nucleotides) under Stegodyphus mimosarum. It matches the Rfam family "tRNA". From Rfam's summary of the family: Transfer RNA (tRNA) molecules are approximately 80 nucleotides in length. Their secondary structure includes four short double-helical elements and three loops (D, anti-codon, and T loops). Further hydrogen bonds mediate the characteristic L-shaped molecular structure. tRNAs have two regions of fundamental functional importance: the anti-codon, which is responsible for specific mRNA codon recognition, and the 3' end, to which the tRNAs corresponding amino acid is attached (by aminoacyl-tRNA synthetases). tRNAs cope with the degeneracy of the genetic code in two manners: having more than one tRNA (with a specific anti-codon) for a particular amino acid; and 'wobble' base-pairing, i.e. permitting non-standard base-pairing at the 3rd anti-codon position. The record is from Rfam by way of RNAcentral. Lineage: Eukaryota; Metazoa; Arthropoda; Arachnida; Araneae; Eresidae.